Molecule: ribosomal RNA, 501 nt
Filed under: uncultured bacterium
Lineage: Bacteria
Description: partial 16S ribosomal RNA
Rfam family: Bacterial small subunit ribosomal RNA
Source: RNAcentral
AUUGAACGCUGGCGGCAGGCUUAACACAUGCAAGUCGAGCGGGGGGAGGUAGCUUGCUACCGGACCUAGCGGCGGACGGGUGAGUAAUGCUUAGGAAUCUGCCUAUUAGUGGGGGACAACAUCUCGAAAGGGAUGCUAAUACCGCAUACGUCCUACGGGAGAAAGCAGGGGAUCUUCGGACCUUGCGCUAAUAGAUGAGCCUAAGUCGGAUUAGCUAGUUGGUGGGGUAAAGGCCUACCAAGGCGACGAUCUGUAGCGGGUCUGAGAGGAUGGUCCGCCGCACGUGGACUGAGACACGGCCCAGACUCCUACGGGAGGCAGCAGUGGGGACUAUUGGACAAUGGGGGGAACCCUGAUCCAGCCAUGCCGCGUGUGUGAAGAAGGCCUUAUGGUUGUAAAGCUCUUUAAGCGAGGAGGAGGCUACUUUAGUUAAUACCUAGAGAUAGUGGACGUUACUCGCAGAAUAAGCACCGGCUAACUCUGUGCCAGCCGCCGCCGUAA